ACAGCAGUCGCCGCGGGAAUACGUAGGUCCCGAGCGUUGUCCGGAUUUAUUGGGCGUAAAGCGAGCGCAGGCGGUUAGAUAAGUCUGAAGUUAAAGGCUGUGGCUUAACCAUAGUACGCUUUGGAAACUGUUUAACUUGAGUGCAAGGGUGGAGAGUGGGAUUCCAUGUGUAGCGGUGAAAUGCGUAGAUAUAUGGAGGAACACCGGUGGCGAAAGCGGCUCUCUGGCUUGUAACUGACGCUGAGGCUCGAAGGCGUGGGGAGCAAACAGGAUUAGAUACCCCAGUAGUCCCUGUCUCUUAUACA
RNAcentral lists this ribosomal RNA (305 nucleotides) under uncultured bacterium. RNAcentral describes it as "partial 16S ribosomal RNA". It matches the Rfam family "Bacterial small subunit ribosomal RNA", at positions 508 to 808 of the family's 1533-position model. The record is from RNAcentral.